CAGUGCAACAAGAGAUGAUUCUGUAUGGAGUUAUAUUUGUGCCACAAUCCUGAGCGCACAGUGUGAAAUUUUGAGUACAGAAAACAAUUUUGAGCAAAGAAAAACUUAAUCUGAGCAAACAAAAAUCUAUUCUGCACUCAAAAAAUAUAUUUUUAUAUUUGUAACUAUCCACAUACACACACAGUCUUAAUGUUUUUCACUCGGUUUUUCACUCUGCUCUCCUGUGGAUCUCUGCUCUACGUCCUCGCUACGUCUCUCUCGCUCUCGCUCAACAUCUGCUCUCUGCACGCGCUCAAAUCUGCCUUCACGCUCGCUCAGCUCUGCACGGCGUUACAAAUGUGCCACAAUUCCAGCCAAUCACAGACUUCUGAUUCUAUCCAAUCGGGUCCCUGUUUCGGCCGCCUCUCGGAAGCGCUGUUAAAAACGAUCGCUAAAUCAACUGGAGUUCUGCUUUAUACGCUGGACUACGACAGAUUUUCGAAAGUCAGUCCUGCUUCCGCAACAAAACGAGGGAUUUAGCAGAUGUGCUAGCUAAACAACAUGACAGAUCCAAAUAAUAACAACCCAAAUACUCCGCCACCAUAUCAGAUUUCAAAGGUCCUGGCUGAAACAUUCCCAAAAUGGAAGAUCUUUAUGGGGGGGUGGCUCUUGCAUAAGGCAACAGCACUUUUCAAAGAUGCCAAAGAAGACAUGUUAGCAGUGUAAUGAAGUGAUGCCUCUGCAGAUGCUUACAAUAAAGGAAAAUCACUUUCUGAUGAGAGUGAUGAAGAGGUUGAACAUGUGGCUGAUGCACAGUCUCUGAUGUUGCUGGCUGAUGAAGUUAUAAACUGUGGAUACACAAGCCAGAUCAAGCUGGAUAAUAAACAAAACACCAUUCGACUGAUUCCAAUGCUUCAGCCAGUGAGAAAGGCCAUGGAACUGUAUGUUCUGCUCAGUCAGAUGGCUGCAAACCCUGAAGCUUUACACACUCUUUGUUCCUGGAAGAUCAUCAAAAUGCUGAUUUCAUAAUGAACUGCCGACCACAGCUCAGUGAAAAGGGGACAUCUCAGGAGAGAACUGAGAGAUUAUAAACAUCAUGCAAGAUUUUUGCCAGGAGCUUGAAAUAUCAGUGCUGCAGUUGAGGAUCCACUCUCUUGGAGUUCAGCAUGAAGAGCCCACAUUCCCAUCCUCCCUGAUGAAAAGAGACAUUUCAAAAUAAUAUUCAUGUUUGACCACGAAUGCAGGGAGCCACUUGGAGAUCACUCCGU
Molecule: long non-coding RNA, 1247 nt
Organism: Acanthochromis polyacanthus (spiny chromis)
Lineage: Eukaryota; Metazoa; Chordata; Actinopteri; Pomacentridae
Exons: 8
Source: RefSeq, a predicted model, not a curated record